GAUACUGCCGGUGAUAAGCCGGAGGAAGGCGGGGAGGACGUCAAGUCCUCAUGGCCCUUUCGGCCUGGGCUCCACACGUACUCCAAUGCAGGUGACAAUGGGCAGCCAGAUUGCAAAGUCGAGCAAAUCCCUAAAAGCCACCUCAGUUCAGAUUGCAGUCUGCAACUCGAGUGCAUGAAGUUGGAAUCGCUAGUAAUCGUGGAUCAGCAUGCCACGGUGAAUACGUUCCCGGGUCUUGUACACACCGCCCGUCAAGCGAUGGGAGUUGGUUCCACCCGAAGCCGGGGCGCUAACCGCAAGGAAGCAGCCGUCCACGGUGGGAUCAGCGACUGGCGUUAAGUCGUAACAAGGUAGCCGUAUGGGAACGUGCGGCUGGAUCACCUCCU
Molecule: ribosomal RNA, 386 nt
Filed under: uncultured bacterium
Lineage: Bacteria
Description: bacterial SSU rRNA
Rfam family: Bacterial small subunit ribosomal RNA
Source: RNAcentral